RNAcentral lists this long non-coding RNA (1468 nucleotides) under Phasianus colchicus (ring-necked pheasant). RNAcentral describes it as "lncRNA (ENSPCLG00000011812.1)". Lineage: Eukaryota; Metazoa; Chordata; Aves; Galliformes; Phasianidae. The record is from RNAcentral.
ACGCGUCGGCUGCCUCCUGGCCAUGGACCGGUUCCGCCUCCGCGGACCCAAAUCGGCCCCGGGACGGGGGACGGGCGAGGGCGGCCCCCGGCGGGGAGGAGCCCUACGGGAGCGGAGACAUUCGGUGAGGCGGCCCUUACCCGGCGGCGGCAACCUUCACUCUCUUCGCCCGGCCGCCAUCUUAGGUUGGAACGAGAAACAAAAUGGCGCCCGGACGGCUCCGGGAACGGAGCUGGAGGGAGAUGAUGGGAAAUGUAGUCUCGCGCCCGGCAGGCAACGCGAGGGCUGCUCCGUAGGGACUCCGUCUCCCGGCAUGCAGAGGGAAAGGGGCCACCACAGCCUGCGCCGAGACUCCGUGCAGGACACUGUGUGAAAUGCAGUCCGAGCGAGGCACGGAACGCAACCCUUCCCCGCAGAUUGCGGGAGUGCCGAGGCCGCGUUACCCAGCGCACCCCGCGCCCCGUCAGCGCAGGGGCUUCUGGGGGAGGAGGAGGGUGGGAAGCGGUGGUGGUCGUGGGGGGCUGCGGAGCGGCUGCAGUGAGCGCCGCGGUCUCCGUUCCACAGCGCGGAUUAGGCGGGGACUGGCAGUGAGGGCCGCAGCUCUCCCAGGGAAAGGAGAGCGGCUUGCCGGAGAAGUCAGCAUCAAAACAAUAAAUCUCAAGCCAUUGUCCUUCCCACGAUGCCUGGAGACAUCACCCAGAGAUGGAUACUGUCUCCUGAAUCAGACUGGCAUCAUAAGUGCAGCUCCCACUGAUACAACACUGAAGAAUAGAAGAGAUCUGCAUAUAACGUCCCAUCUAACACAGUGAUCCAGUUGUGCAUCUGGUGAGCAGGGCAUGAGGCCAUUGCUACCUGGAAGGAAGAAUUUUUAUCAGACUGCAUGAAAUGAACAAGGAGGAGAGAUAUGUUGGGUAACACUAAACUAUCAAAGUUCCAUUUACAUUAGACACCAGCCUAGCAAUUUCAGCAUUAGUGGUUGCACUACUGCCCUCCAAUUUUUUGUAACUUUAAUAUAUCAGAAGAAAGGGAGAGUAUGUCAUUCAUCUUAUGAAACAUGAUCUUUUCUUUCAUACAUCAUCAAUAGGCAGCAAUUUGUACAGUUGUUAAAUUCCUUUAGCAGUAAAUUUCCUGGGAAAAUAAUUGCUCUGCUCCUACUUCACAGAUUAUCUGAGAUGAUAAUAAUAGUAUCUUGGGAUUUGGACUCUUUCUCUUCCAAACUUAAAGGAGAAAAAACUAGUUUUGAGGCGGAUGGCAAGGUAGCAAAGCAUCAGAUUUGCACCUAAGAAUUAGGUUCAAUUUGCUUUUAUUGUACAAUCAGUUUCCUUGGGAGUGGUUCAGCAAGUUAUCCCCUCCUCAAUCGCAUGCUAUCAUUCUCCUUUGCAACAUGUAGCUCCCUGGAAGGACAAAAGCCAUGAGGAACAUGCAGUCUUCUAGACAGACAGAGAACUCUUAGCCAUCUUCCUAAGAG